UACGAAGGGGGCUAGCGUUGCUCGGAAUCACUGGGCGUAAAGGGUGCGUAGGCGGGUCUUUAAGUCAGGGGUGAAAUCCUGGAGCUCAACUCCAGAACUGCCUUUGAUACUGAGGAUCUUGAGUUCGGGAGAGGUGAGUGGAACUGCGAGUGUAGAGGUGAAAAUUCGUAGAUAUUCGCAAGAACACCAGUGGCGAAGGCGGCUCACUGGCCCGAUACUGACGCUGAGGCGCGAAGGCGUGGGGAGCGAACGGGAUU
Molecule: ribosomal RNA, 257 nt
Filed under: uncultured bacterium
Lineage: Bacteria
Description: partial 16S ribosomal RNA
Rfam family: Bacterial small subunit ribosomal RNA
Source: RNAcentral